This 460-nucleotide ribosomal RNA is filed under the name uncultured bacterium. Its description in RNAcentral is "partial 16S ribosomal RNA". It matches the Rfam family "Bacterial small subunit ribosomal RNA", at positions 338 to 795 of the family's 1533-position model. The record is from RNAcentral.
CCUACGGGUGGCAGCAGUGAGGAAUAUUGGUCAAUGGGCGCGAGCCUGAACCAGCCAAGUCGCGUGAGGGAGGACGGCCCUACGGGUUGUAAACCUCUUUUGCCGGGGAGCAACGGGCGUCACGUGUGGCGCCACUGAUAGUACCCGGAGAAAAAGCAUCGGCUAACUCCGUGCCAGCAGCCGCGGUAAUACGGAGGAUGCGAGCGUUAUCCGGAUUGAUUGGGUUAAAAGGGUGCGUAGGCGGAUCGUUAAGUCAGUGGGCAAGUUGAGGGGCUCAACCCCUGCCCGCCAUUGAAACUGGCGCUCUUGAGUGGAAGAGAAGUAGGCGGAAUGCGUGGUGUAGCGGUGAAAUGCAUAGAUAUCACGCAGAACCCCGAUUGCGAAGGCAGCAUGCCGGCUUCCGACUGACGCUGAAGCACGAAAGCGUGGGGAUCGAACAGGAUUAGAUACCCCAGUAGUC